AUAUAUGCAAUCACUUUAGAUAUUUUUAGAAUCCUAUUUUUAGGAUUUUUAGGAUUUUUUUGGAAGAUUUUUACCUCAUUUUUUGAAAAUAUUUACAAGAAUUUUCUCGCCAAAUUUGGGGGAUUUUUUUCUUGAAAAUGUGGGCAUCAGAAGUUUCACUGUGAAAAUCUUUUUUUUUUCUCCACAUUUUCAAACUUUAAAACGGGUCAGUUUGACCCGCAGGAGACACGAGGGUUAAAUGAAACUUUUAAGGUAAACUUUUAAGGAAUUAUUGGAAUUUUCUUCCUGAAAGUUUUGCGUAUUUUCUGAAAUUUGGGGAAUUUUUUUGCUGAUUUUUUUCAGAAAAGGAAACAUGUGUCCGUGUGUGUGUGUGUGUGUGCGUGCGUGCGUGCGUGCGUGCGUGCGUGCGUGCGUGCGUGCGUGUGUGUGUUUAUGCGACUCAUUCCAUAUCAUUUGAACAGAAACUUCAGUUCGUGUUCGUUCGUUUGCAGCGUUUAUCCGAGAAGAGAAUAGAAAAAUCUGAGCCAUAUUCAAUGCAAUAUGAAUAGAUGACAUCUCUUUUGCAUUUCUCUAUUAAUCGUUUACAUUACAUUAAUGUUUGAACAUAGUCGACCAUUUAGCACCGAGGAGUAUUGAAUGUGCAAUUUUACUUCAGUGCUGGUUGGGUUUAUGAUUGUCUUGGGUUUUUUUUUCUUUUGCGUGCAUGUAUGUCAGUGCUUUGAGGUUUCUUUUGGUAUAACCUGUUGUAAACUAAAUUCAUAUUUACGGUAGGAAAUGCUUCCCAAGUAUUUGCAGGGACUAAAAGAGGAGCCAUCGUAGAAGUCGGGCUGCAAAAACACAGCAUCAGUGUUACUUGUUUCUUCUUUUUCUGUCAAAAUUUAGCGAUUUUCAUCAUUUAAUCCUUUACGAACCGACACUUGAAUCGAAAGAAAGCAUGUACAAUAUCUCUUUGAGUCAAUUAUACAAACAAAAGUUUGAAUUCUAUAUUGUGAAAGUAAAAUAAACUUAGACUUUGACUACAAACUCAGGAAGAAUUUCAUAUAUAGUCAAAUUAAUGUUUUAAAUUCUCCCCGUUUAAGCGAGUAGUUUCUGUUCUGAACUUGAAGACUUUAGGAAACAUUAAAACUUUGUGAUUGCAGACUGCCUUACUUUCAUGGACUCCAUAGACUCACCCACAGUUGGACCAGUGGGUGACGCUACCGUUUGUCACCCACUGGUUCUAUUGUGGGCAAAUGUGACCAAUCAGGGCUGGAUCUGACUGAGAACUCAGAGACUCUAUUCACAGUGAUAGAACAGCGACCAACAGUAACUCUAUCGUCUUUUUUUCACUAAAUGGGACCAGAAUUUACUGAAUGAACAUCAUGGAGUCUUCAGAAAGACUUCAGACUCGCAGUUUAGAGCGUAAACUCAUGAAGAAAAUGUUUAGUGAGGGAACAAAGAAGUGAGAAAAAAGGUCGUUUUCUCAUAGACUUCUGUACAAUCUGACUUCUUUUGACAACCAGAGGAGUCGCCCCCUGCUGGCUGUUAGAAAGAAUGCAGCUUUAAGGUGGCGGGACUGGGGCCGGGUCGUGGAUUCAGCAUCCCAAGAGACAAACAGUCAUUAGCUCACACUGAAACACAACUCAGUAGGAAAAUACCGGCAAAAAUGUAAAACUGUAAGUCUGUCUUAAGCUUGGGAGCCGUAAUGAAGCUAGCGAAUGUAGCAUAAUCCAACGUGGCAGCAAACGUAAACAAAGCCGUCUGAUAGCGCCGCGUGACGACGUAUUCAUGUGCUCCACUCGCCAAAAGUUUCACAUAACCAGUUCUGAGGUAACGAUGAAAUGCCAUAAAUUGAGGACGUCGUAAACCGAGGACCUCCUGUACAAGAUCUAAUGUUUCUUGAUCCAUUUAGGCGUUCUUUUUUUUAAAACCCUGCUCUAUUUUUUCUACCGUAGAGGCUAAUCCAAUGCUUGAAGCCCCUGAAAUGUUUCACCAGGACUUAAAUAACUCAUGCGCCGACAAACUUCAUCGCAUGUGAUGAAGACAGCCCGAGACAUUAGCUUGUGUUUCAAUAAUCUCUGCAUUUAUUGCUCCACAGCAGUCAUAAUCCAACAUUCUUCAUCUCAAACAAACAAUUCACCACCACCGUUCACAACUGUUCUACCUUCCAGGCGGAAACACCUGCCCAGACAAAGAUUGGUUCUUACUUAUAACGUAGCACUCAUUGGCUCCUACAUCUACAUUGAGGUGUGCUGUUAUGUUAGCGCCACCUAGCACAGGAAACAACCUCUAACUGCAGCAGAAUCAGUAUUAUCGCUAAAAUUGUCGUUUCCAUUUCAUAUUUAAGGUUGGUCAUGAGUUUGGUACAUGCUGAUAACGAACAUGUUUUCUCACUCUACUUAGCUGUAUGGAAAAUGACGCUUAAGACAGAAAGGUUGAUCAAACCUGUAGGCGAGGUGUUAAUGCUCUCAUUUAUGGGGAUUGAAUUAAAAUAUACCUAAAAGACAUACAGUUGUUUAAACAUUUUCUGCCUGAUAUAAAGUAAAAUAACAUGUUGACUGAUAAAAAGUGAAGUAAUGAUGGUCCUAAACUAAACAUUUUAAUCCUAAACAGUCUUUUGAUUAAAAAAAUAUGGAAAAUUGUCCUAAUUUCAUGAAUAAACAGACAUUUUUAGCCUUUAUAGCAGCUUUACCAGUAAAGUAUUUGUGUUUUAUGAUGGAGACUUCUGCGAUGGCUGCUACCGUCCACUGUCCGACACCUAGACCUUCCUCUGGGCAUUAUAAAAUAGACAAAAUGUGUAUAAAUGAACUCCUGAACUGUCUGUGAAUGGUGACGACAUUUUCUAUGAAGUGUGCUAAUAAGCUAACCCGUUCUGAACGACAAACUCACGCUUCUGAUCUUUCUAUUGAGUAGAAACACGACUUUGUAUUAAAUUGUCUCUCAUCAGCGGUGGUUAUGCAUGGCAUUUUCUUACCUCCUUGCGAUUAUUUUCUAGUAACGGCAUAAAAAAUGGCAUUAUUGUUGUUUAAACUAUUAAUUCUUAUAGUUUUAAAUGAUUUCUAUCUGAGUUUCUUCAAAGGUUGGGCAUGUCUUGGGUGUGUUUUGUUCCUUUUGCUUUUGUAUUUCUUUUUCUGCUGAUGAUGAUGGGAUUACUUGAAGUUGUUUUAUUUUAUUCAUUUGUUAAAAGAAGAUGUGAUGCUGUAGUUUUUGUGUCUGACCUUGUUUCUUAUUUCACUGAUUGCUGCUGCUUAUUGCCGUCACUAAGCUGCUUCUUCGUUGAUCUAGGCUGGAAAGUAGCUGAAGUCUUUUAAAUUUAAACAUUCAGAAGCAAAGGAGCUCAGAAGAGGCCUUACUGUUCAGGAUUACAAAAUUUUUAUUCUUUUUUUUAAAGAGAAUAAACAUCAGCAGACUGACUCCGAGCCACAGAUUUAUUAAAGUUAGAUUAGUUUAGUAAAUGUAAAGUUCAUCAAUGCAGAACAGAAUAAUUCAUCAAAAAGGACCAUAUAUUAUAUACUGGUACUAUAUUCAUAAACAUUAUCUCAAUAUGCUAACAGCCAUGCUAACAGCUCUGUGAGACUGUAACUGGUUAGAGCUAAAUGCAAGCUAUAGCAUAGCAUGCUAACCUUCUCACAGUAUUAAUAAAUGUUGAUGUUUAGCAAACAUGUUCACCAUCUUUGCCUAGCAUGCUAACUGCUCAGUUAAGCUGAGCAGUUAACUGCUAACAUGCUAGCUACAAUAAUGCUAACAUGUUGAUGUAUAGCAAAUAGAAGGUCAGAAUCUUUGUUUAGCAUGCUAACAUGCUGAUGUUUAGCCAAUGUGUUUGCAGUCUUUGCUUUGCCCAGUAACCUGCUCAAAAUGACAAUGCUAACAUGAUGAUGUUAAGCAGACAUGUUUGCUAACAUUGCUUAGCAUGCUAACAUGCUGGCAUUGCUUAGCAUACAAACAUGCUUGCAACAACAAUGCAAAUAUUUAAUGUUAAGCAAACAUGUUGACCGUCUUUGCUUAGCUUGUUAACAUGCUAAUAUUAAGCAGAUAUAAUGCUUACCAUCUUUGUUUAGCAUGCUAACAUGCUCACAACAACAAUGCUAACAUGUUGAUGUAAAGCAGACAUGUUUGCUAACGAUGUUUAGCAUGUUAGCAUGCUUGUAGCAACAUUGCUAAUAUUUUGAUGUUUAGCAAGUAUUUUUACCGUCUUUGUUUAGCAUGCUAACAUUCAUGCUCAAAGAAUGUUAAUAUUUACCAGAUACACACACACACACACACACACACACACACACACACACACACACACACACACACACACGCAGGUAGUCAUCAAAUGUUUCACUCAACAUCCCGAAUAUUAACUUCCUAAAAGAGGUACAUCCUCUGAUGAUUAUGAACGUCUGCUCUGAAUGACAUCUAACAGCUGUUAAGAUGUUUCGGUCUGAGCGGUGAACUGAUAAUAGAAUAAAAUAAUACUUUAUUGAUAAUUUACAGACUUGUAACAGCAGCAUGUCGACACGUCGAUGACCCACAAAACCGACAGAACAAGAAUAGUCAUCAGUACGAGCACAUACACGGUAUAUAAGGUAGAAAAAAUAUGAUAAAAGUUAAAACAUAUGUCGGGAAAAUUGUUAACUUCUCUAAAUUAAAACUCAGAGUCGUCUCUCAAAUCAAAGUAAACAGACCCCAGUCUGAUAAAAGUGACUGAUAAAAGCCUUUAUACAGGCACAUUAGCAGGAGGGACACAUCUUGGUGUGAUAUCUCUAGUUUGAGUUAUAAACCACACAGUUAAAUAGUAUUACAAUGAAUAAGAACAUUUAAUCAUAAAACAUAAUCAUUUACAUAACAGCACAGCAUAGAACACAUAAAUUAAAAUAUAAAAGCCUGAUUGGUGGACGGGCGCUAAGCUGUUAGCAUGGCUAAAGCAUACAGACACAGUUUAACCCUCCUGUUGUCCUCAUCUAACAGCACCAAAAAAAUAUUUUCUUGUCCGAAAAAAUCCAAAAAUUCAGCAAAAAAAUUCCCCAAAUUUCUGAAAAUUUGCAAAACCUUGAAAAUUUGCAAAACUUUCAGGAAGAAAUUUCCAAUAAUUCCUUAAAAGUUUUAUUUUUAAAAAAUAAUCCCUCAAAUUUGGCAAGAAAAUUCUUGUAAAUAUUUUCAAAAAAUGAUAAAAAUCUUCCCAAAAAAAUCCUAAAAAUAUCUAAAGUGAUUCCAUAUAUAUCAGUAAAACUUCUAAUAUUUUCUUUAAGAACAUUCAUUUUUUUUGUGUGAAUGUUCUUAAGAAGGGCUGCACAGUGGCGUAGUGGUUAGCACUUUCGCCUUGCAGCAAGAAGGUCCCUGGUUCGCGUCCCGGCUUUCCCGGGAUCUUUCUGCAUGGAGUUUGCAUGUUCUCCCUGUGCAUGCGUGGGUUCUCUCCGGGUACUCCGGCUUCCUCCCACAGUCCAAAAAUAUGCUGAGGUUAAUUGAUCAUUCUAAAUUGCCCGUAGGUGUGAAUGUGAGAGUGCUUGUUUGUCUAUAUAUGUAGCCCUGCGACAGACUGGCGACCUGUCCAGGGUGUCCCCUGCCUUCACCUGAGUCAGCUGGGAUAGGCUCCAGCCCCCCCCGCGACCCUAGUGAGGAUUAAGCGGUGUAUAGAUAAUGGAUGGAUGGAUGUUCUUAAGAAACAUUUUUGACAUUUUUUUUCCACCAAAAAUGUUCAAAAAUUUACCAAAAAUGUUAAAAAUGUGGACAUCAGAAGUUUCACUGUGAAAAUAUUUUUUUUCCCCACAUUUUCAAAGUUGAAAACGGGUCGAUUUUGACCCGCAGGACGACACGAGGGUUAAAUAGAAGCAUUAAAAACAUCAAACCAGAACAUGUUCAGUCAUAAUAUUUUUUAUUCCAGCCAUCACCAGGAAGUUCUACUAAGAAUAUACAGACACAUGAUUAUCCUCAGCACCAGACGGGUGGAGUUAAACCAUCAUCUGGACUCUUUUCAGUCUUUCUGGCACCUUUUGUGGGUUUGAAGAUUAUAUUUACCCGAGUGGAUCUUUCUGAAGCUCUGUGUAAACGUCUCACAGCCGGUGAGUAACAUGAAGAAAUACACGAAUAAAUAUGUAAUAUUGAUAGAUUAAACUUGUCUUUUAAGUCACUGUGUAAUCCAAAUGGAAAGAUACAGUCAAGACAUGUUUGGAUUUAAAGGGUUAAAAGUGAUGUUUGUUUUUAGGAUGAUUGUUUUCAGGUUUGGAAAGACGCCUUAAAUGUGUACACUGGAUUCUCAUCAGACAACUUUUAGUAAUUACAGAGUAUUAAAUUCAUGUCUGUAAAUUAAUAUUGACUGUUACUUCAGAGCGUGUAGAGCUAUAUGUGUGUUUGUUCUAAUAACCCAACUUGCUACUCGGAAGCCUUUACUGCCAUUAGAAACAGUUUUUAUUCCUCCAUACCUGCCUAUAUACGAUGAUAUUUUCUGUGAAAAGUGAGUCAGAAGCUUCAUGUUCAGUAAUUCUGUGCAUUCAGAUGCAAAGGAGCUCAAAAGGCCUUACUGUUCAGGAUUACAACAUUUUUAUUCUUUUUUAAAAGAGAAUAAACAUCAGCAGACUGACUCCAAGUCGCAGAUGUAGUAAAAUUAGAUUAAUUUAGUAAAUUUAGAGUUCAUAUGCCAACAUAAAUAUGCUAACAGCCAUGCUAACAGCUCUGUGAGACUGUAACUGGUUAGAGCUAAAUGCAAGCUAUAGCAUAGCAUGCUAACCUCCUCACAGUAUUAAUGCUAACAUGUUGAUGUUUAACAAAUAUGCUUACCAUCUUUGCUUAGCAUGCUAACAUGCUCACAGCAUAAAUGCUAACAUGUUGAUGGGUCACAGAUAUAAGGUCUUUGUUUAGCAUGCUAACAUGCUCACAACAACAAUGCUAACAUGUUGAUGUGUAGCAAAUAGAAAGUUAGAAUCUUUGUAUAGCAUGCUAACAUGCUGACACUUAGCCAGCGUGUUUGCAAUCUUUGCCCAGUAGCCUGCUCAAAAUGACAAUGCUAACAUGAUGAUGGGUCACAGAUAUAAGGUCUUUGUUUAGCAUGCUAACAUGCUGACGUUUAGCCAACAUGUUUGCAGUCUUUGCUUUGCUCCAUAACCUGCUCAAAAUGACAAUGCUAACAUGAUGAUGUUAAGCAGACAUGUUUGCUAACAUUGCUUAGCCUGCUAACAUGAUAGUAAUAACAAUGCUAAUAUUUUGAUGUUAAGCAAAUAUUUUUAUCAUCUUUGCUUAGCUUGUUAACAUGUUAAUAUUAAGCAUAUAUAAUGCUUACCAUUGUUUCUUAGCAUGCUAACAUGCUUGUAACAGCAAUGCUAAUAUUGUGAUAGUAAGCAAAUAUUUUUAGCAUCAUUGCUUAACUUGCUAACAUGUUCAAGUGAAGUCAAGUUUGCUUUAUUUUCUCCCAUGGGAGAAAUUUCUUAGACAAGGUAAAAUGACAAAUUUCUAAAAAUUUUUAAUAUUAAGCAGAUAUAAUGCUUACCAUCUUUGCUUCGCAUGCUAACAUGCUCACAACAACAGUACUAACAUGUUGAUGUGUAGCAAAUAUAAGGUUAGAAUCUUUGUUUAGCAUGCUAACAUGCUGAUGUUUAGCCCACAUGUUUGCAAUCUUUGCUUUGCCCAGUAACCUGCUCAAAAUGACAAUGCUAACAUGUUGAUGUUAAGCAGACACAUUUGCUAAUGUUGCUUAGCCUGCUAACGUGAUUGUAACAACAAUGCUAAUAUUUUGAUGUUAAGCAAAUAUGUUGACCAUCUUUGCUUAGCUUGUAGACAUGCUCACAACAACAAUGCUAACAUGUUGAUGUGUAGCCAAUAUAAGGUUAGAAUCUUUGCUUAGCAUGCUAACAUGCUAACAUUUUUUCAAGUGAGUCAGGACCUUCAUAUUUAGGCUGAUUGCUGCUGUAGUGAAACAUGUUUCUGCUGGCUGUUAGCCCUCUGACCUACAUUACUGUGUAAAGAGAAAAAACAAACUGUGACGUAGAGAUUUGUCAGAUGUCUGUGAAGUCAAACAGUCGCUGAGUCACAUCUGGGAGUUUCCUGAAGCAGCAAACGGCUCCACUGAGUCGCUGUUUGGAGUUUUACCGUCUGUCUUUCUCAACCGACAGAAUAUUUUUUUAACAUUUCUUUCUUCACCUGUAAAUUAAGUUCAGAGUUGCCGUUAAAACAUUCGUAACCUUUGAAAAGGUUCCGAUUAGCUGCUAAAUGGACGCUGUGGUGAGAUGUUUAAAUAGUCAGAGGGAACUUUCAGAGUUUAUCAGACAAACACAGCUGGAAAUUCCAAACUUCAGUGUAAAUAACAAGUCAGCUGACAACAAAUGACACAAAAGAGACACAAAACAACAAAAAUGAAACAAAACGACAAAAACAAGGCAAAAAAUGACAAAAAUUAGACAAAAAUGACAAAAAAACAGACACAAAACAACAAAAAUGAGACAAAAUGUGAAAAAUGAGACAAAGAAUACCAAAAACAAGAAAAAAAAUGUAAAAUUAGCAAAAAAAUUUAAAAAAAGAGACACAAAACAACAAAAACAAGACACAAAGCAAUAAAAGCUAGACAGAAAACAACAAAAACGACAUACAACAUGACAAAAAUGAGACAAAAAUGCUAAAAUUAGACAAAAAAAUGACAGAACGACAAACAACAAAAAUGAGACACAAAAUGCCAAAAAUUACACAAAAAAUUACAAAAAAGAGAUGCAAAACAACAAAAAUGAGACAAAAAAAUCCAAAAAAUUUGACAAAAAAUGACAAAAAUUAGACAAAAAAUGACAAAAAGACAGAAAACGAGAAACAAUACAACAAAAAUGAGACAAAAAAAUGACAAGAAAGACACAACAUAAAAGAGACAAAACAACAAAAACGAGACACAAAGCAACAAAAAUGAGACACAAAAUGACAAAAAUUAGACAAAAAUGCCAAAAAUUUGACCAAAAAAUGACAAUGAGACAAAAAAUGCAAAAACAAGACAAAAAAUUUGACAAAAAAUGUCAGAAGCGUCAGAAAACAACAAAAACGAGACACAAAAUGACAAAAACAAGACAAACAGCCUUGAUAAAUCCACUUUAUUUGUACCUGUAAAAAGAUGCAUUAUUUUCUAGCAGCCCUUCAUUGUGUCGAUCAUUUUAAACUUUUUUUUGACCCUAUUUGUGUCAUUUGAGCAGCUUUGAGAGGCCUGAAGGGUUCAAACAUUCAGUAAAUCACUAGAAACAGAGUCAUCCAUCAUCUGUGGGACCCGCUGACAUUAACGGCCAAAUCACAUCCUGAAAGUCAAACGUUGGCUCUGUUUUAACAUCAGAGUGUUUGCGAGGCUUUGGGUUUAACGUACCGAUGAAUACUGAGUCCAAAUCAUUUACUGGUCUGUGUCACAUUACUGGUUUAUGAGUCACUCUACAGACGUCUCAUCACAUCUAAAGGUGAUUUCUGUGGGAAACAAGUCCAGAUCUGUUGGAAACAACGAAGACGCUGUGGAUUUUAUUCCAGAACGUUCUUCAGUCACCUCAGUUUUAAAUGCCAGUGAAGUUUCAAACUUCCUCCUGAUUAUUUUCUUUUUUUCUUCCUCUUUUCUGGCAGCCCUCAGCUGGUAAACAGGGUGAAUUUAUCACAUCAGUCAAAACGAAACCUGCUUUCAUUUUUCUGUUUUUUUCUAGAAGUGUUUCUGUGACGUUUUAAAAAAUCCCUACUGUUUACUUUUUGUUUUCCAGACAUAAAAAACAAAAACCGGUAUAUAAAUCUGAGAGAUGGUAAAGCACGUCAGAUUGUAUAUUUGUUUAAAAAUUUAAGACACAAAACAACAAAAAAAUGAGACAAAAGAUGCCAAAAACAAGGCAAAAAAUGCCAAAUAUUUUUUAAAAAAUAACAAAAAAGAGGCACAGAACAACAAAAAUGAGACACAAAACAAGAAAAACAAGACAGAAAACGACAAAAAUUUAACAAAAAAUGCCAAAAACGACAGAAAAUUACAAAAAAGAGACACAUAACAAAGCAACAAAAACAAGACAGAAAAUGCCAAAAAAUAGACAAAAAAAUGACAAAAAAGAGACACAAACUGACAAAAGAGACACAAACAAAAAGGAGACACAAAACAAAACGACAAAAACGAGACACAAAAUGACAAAAACAAGAUUAAAAAUGACAAAAAAGAGACACAAUUUUUAGAAUAAAUAAGUUGGAACCUUCUUUUUUUUGGUUGCUUUGUCACUUUCUAUCUCUUUCACUUUCAGUGUGAAAUCUCAGCUGGUUUGUGUUGUUCAGAGAAAUGUCACAUGAUGAGAAGGUUUGGUGGUUACCUGUGAUUACCAGUUUUGUACACAAACGUACGUCAGCGGUUUCAUCAUCAGCGUCUGACGUCAUGACGCACAGCUGCUGAUAUAGAACCCGGAACCAGAUGAGUGGAGCGCAGUAACCGGCAGGACCUGAGGGAGCUGCGGAGGAUAUUUAUCUUCAUUUACUGUCUUUUUGGCCAUUUCAACCUGAACCAGGAUGGCGAACGGACACGUGGAAAUCCACGACCUGUUGUCCGCCCACCACAGCCCCUCCAGCUGCUCAGACCCUGAAUCCACCUCAGACAGCGACAGAAUGGACGACACGGUGGAGUUCAGGAUCAUGAUGGCGUUCGCCAAGAGGAGACGACCUCAACAGCAGCAGCAGCAGGAUUCAAAUCCAGACGACGGACCAGUGAAGGAUAGCAGAGAUGCUAACGGAACGACGACUCCAUCCCAGACACCAGAGAAGACUGAGGGGAAGAAGAAGAGGAAGAAGAAGGGAUGGAAACGUCUGUCGAGCAUUUUGAGAUGUGUCAAACCUCAGACUGAAGACCCAGAACCACAGCCAACGCCUCGACCCAACGGAAACUUCAGGAGUUUGGAUCCUAGAACCAAUGAGCGACUGGUAGUGGACUCACACGAACCCGAUGAGGUUAAAGAUGACGAUCAUUUGGCCGAGGCAGUGAGCAGACUGACGGAGAUCGCUGAAGAAAUCCCGUUCACUCCUCCAGAAUGGGAGACGGACUCCAGAGACGGUGAGGUGGAGAAGAUUAUCGGUCUGAUUCUGAGGGAAAGUGGAGACAGACUGAAUGAGAAGGAGCUGAAGAACGCCAACAUCGCAGCAGAACUCUUCUGGAACUACAGCUUCUUUAGGGAGCUAAUAAAUAGACUGCUCAUGAGGAUGGGCCUCAGGAGCCCCGACCCCGACGCUCUGGGGCCUCAAGCAUCACCCAAAACCCAGAUCGCUGUGACCUGUGAGGUCACCAGUCGUCUCUCUGAGGUGAACUCUCUGCCCAGGAACCUCCUGAUGCGCCACGGAGCCCGAUACCUGCAGGACUACUACUCCACCUGGGCUCAGCAGCAGGGCGGAUACGAGGCAGCCUUUGAGGGAGACGAGGAUGAAGUGGAGUGAACCGGACCAGGUCUUCCAGCUCCACAGCGCCUCCUGCAGGCCGUCACAGAAGCAGCAUUAGGAGUCCUACAGAGUGUGGAGAACACAGAACAGGAGCUUUGUGUUUUCAUUCAGACAGAUCAGUUUACACAGAACACGUCUGCAGCCGUGAGCUUUAAAACAAACAAUCAUGUGCUGUCAGGGGCCACGAGACGAUGAAUAAAUUAUUUUUGUACCGUUAUAACCUCUGUGAUUAAGGUUGUCUUGACUUUUUGAAAUCAUCAUUAUUUGCUUUGUAGUUAGAAAGAAGAAAAGUAUAGCUCAGCACUUGCACUUUUAAGAUCACGGAAAAUAGAUGUAAAAUAGAAGUGGUGUUGUUUGUGUUGUUUCUAAGGGACCACUGUGUGUACUGUUGUUGUUGUUUAGACAUAAAUGUAAAUGAAAACACAGAUUUUUAGUCUGUGGAUUGUUUGUGUGAACAUUUUUAGCACAAUACAUCCUGUCAGUUUUCAUAUGAAGUGCAGAAAUGUGUCUAAAAACUGCCUAAAUGCUACUUUUUUGUGUUUUUUCUGUUAUAGUUUAAUGAUUGAGCUCAGAUGAAAACGGCACCACCCUGUGGCCAAAUGUGGAACUGAUUCAAACAACCCCAAUUCAAAUUAGAUUAAUUAAUAAAUGUUGUUUACUUUAUGGAUAUAUUGACAUGUUUUACUCUUGUGAUAAGUUGUUGUAUUUAUUUUAAUAAAUUCAGCAUAAAGUGAACAAAUCCAAGGAUUGGAAAUUUGGAAACGACAAAAACUAGACACAAAAUGACAGAACUGAUACACAAUGACAAAACCGAGACACAAAACGACAAAACUGAGACACAAAAUGACAUAAACGAGACAGAACGACAAAACCGAAACAAAAUGACAAAAACGAGACUCAAACUGACAAAAACGAGACAAAAAUGACAAAAGACUCAAAGUGACAAAAAUGAGACACAAAACCGAGACACAAAAUGACAAAAACAAGACAGGAAAUGACAUUUUAGUGAUAUCCAGUCAUUUUUAUUAAUAAGUGAUUGUUUCCAUAAUAAAUAAUUAUGUAAUUUGUAAAGACAUGAUCAUAAUGAACAUAACAUUUUUGCUUUUAAUAAAAAUGUAGGCAGAUAUAUCCUAAAGUCCUUCAGUUAUAUAUUGACCCACCAGGUGGCACAAAGAUAAAGUUUUUAUUAGUAAUGUUCUUUAAAUAAAGUAUAAAAGGUGGAA
Amphiprion ocellaris (clown anemonefish) is the source of this 12581-nucleotide long non-coding RNA. The record is from Ensembl. NCBI's taxonomy places the organism in Eukaryota, Metazoa, Chordata, Actinopteri, Pomacentridae.